AUAACUAACCAUUAUGAACAUUUUAUGGUAUCUAUACCCUGCUCACUUAUGAUUACGUGCCCCAUAAAAGCCGUGUCCCCUUUGUCACGCCUCCAGUUUGAUUGAUCAUAUCCACGCGAUCCCUAUAAAUAGACGCUGGUCCUCUAGACCUAGGCUCGUACUGUACCGAAUAAUAAAGCGUAUGUACAUAGGUACUCUACAAUCGCCAGCCGGGCAGAGGAGCAGCGCAACCAGAACCAGAUUAAACCGCAGAUGCGCUGUCAAAGUGACAGGGCCACGAGGAACGACUUGAUUGCCCAUGUGACCAUGCCCAGGAUCGGAUCCGAGCCAAGGAACCCCCCGAACCUGGCAACCCCGGACAAACCAGAGGAGGGACCGGAAGGUGGAACCGACAACGACAACCACGUUCAACGUUCUAAUGAACCCAAAAAGAUUUUACGCGCCAAAGACUUUUCACGUUGCCCAAGCAUCCACGAGAUGCUCGUAGGCUCAUGGUACAAUUGCAAAAACGACAAUAAGAUAGGGGAAUAUUUUUCAAGAUCGAAGUUGGAAAUACCCAUGGCCAAUGAGCAUAGUUACUUGAAUCCCAAAUUAAAAAAAAAGAUUUAUAAAAUAUAUAUUUAAAAUAAAAGACGGUAUCAAAUAAGCUCGACUUAUCAUGUAAUGCCCCUAGAGCCGCGCGUGUGCCUGCCUUUUCUCUGUUUUGAUACGUUAUAAAAUUAAAGACCUAAUGAAGUGGAGGCAGCGACAACGCAGAGAUAAAUAUGCACACAAAAAAAAAAAAAA
Molecule: long non-coding RNA, 786 nt
Organism: Drosophila mauritiana
Lineage: Eukaryota; Metazoa; Arthropoda; Insecta; Diptera; Drosophilidae
Exons: 2
Source: RefSeq, a predicted model, not a curated record